Bactrocera neohumeralis is the source of this 1586-nucleotide long non-coding RNA. RefSeq lists it as uncharacterized. The transcript has 6 exons. The record is from RefSeq and is a predicted model, not a curated record. Lineage: Eukaryota; Metazoa; Arthropoda; Insecta; Diptera; Tephritidae.
UAGUAUGAAAUUUUCGGAGAUAUCCCUGCAAAAAGCGUUGCUCCUAUAACACAAAAUCAGUGGUAUAAAGAUAGAUAGAAAAAUCUACUUUUUAUCUAGACCAAUGUGACUAGAUGGUGGCAUGUAGUUUUGCAUUGCCGAAUGACGACUAAAUACUUGUCUAUUCACUUGUUAUGUUAAUGAGCACAAAAAAGAAAAAAGGCUGCAAGUGAACACGUGUCGUUUUGAAUUGUGAGUGUUGAACAAAAAUUUAUAAAAAUACUUCUUUCUUGUGCAUCUAAUUAUUUACGAAAUUUGAGUACAGCCAGAGCUAUGUUACAAUUGUUUAUUGACAAUUUUGCAGUUAUAUUUGGCCGGGAGUCUGAAUCGUACAACGUCCAUGGUUUACUCCAUAUUUGCGACUGUGUUGAAGAAUUCGGUUGUCUUUACACAUUUUCAGCAUAUGAUUUUGAAAAUCAUUUGCAAUUAAUUUAAAAAAAUGUCAGGAAGCCGACAUAAAUUCUUCAACAAUUGGCAAAUAUAAAUGAAAUUUCGGAAUUUUUUUUCAAUGAAAGCAAAAUAGAAAUUAAAGAAAAAAAUAAUUUAAUUACAAGUUAUAGGAUGAAACAUUUUUAUUUAAGUUCAAAGGCACCAGAUAAUUUCGGCGUUAUUUUGCCAGAUAUACGCAUUUCAAUUAAAAAAUUAAAAAGUGAAAUGCAGGAGAAAUAAUAUUGGAAGCAAUCCGGUUUAAAAAUGUCCAUCCGUUAGCUCCAUUCACUUCAUUAGCUCUAGGAAUAGCACUUUCGGAUUCAUUAUCUGAAGAAAUUGAAGAAUUUAAAGCAGAUGAUGUAGCAUAUAAAUUGAUGUUGCUUCCUUCUUCACAAAAUUUUCUACUAUUGCCUUUAUUAAAUAGCUGCACUUUUUAAUAGAUAACAAAAACCAAAACGAAUAUAAAAAAAAUAUGAUAUAAAAAAUAUAAUAUAAAAAAAACCAAAUAUUUAUAUGAAAAUGACUCAGCAACAACCAAAUCAGAUAAGACAAUUUGACUUCAAAGAGAAUGAAAUAAUAUUUUAUGAUUCGCAAAUUCAUUCCGAAAACAACUAUAGCGGCAGCAGCAAUAACAACAACUAUCUCAAAACCAAUAAUAAUACCAACUCCCCAACAGCAAUAGCAAUAACAAAACUUGUGUAAGGUGCAAAUCUUUGGAGGCUAAAAUUGACGAUUUGAACACCAAAUUUGGCAAAAUGCUAGGUGAACAUCAAUGAGUAUAAUAACGCAAUAAAACAAUUAUUAAAGGGGGAUCCUGAAAAGCACUUUGAGGAAAUUAUCUCCAGAUCUAUGUGCAACGAAGUCAAUGUAGGCGGCGUCCAUGGCAAGAUUUGCCUCAAAAAAUAUGCUUCGUUGUAUGAUGCGAUUAUAAGUGGAUUGUCGGCGACGUCAGAAAAGCCCGAUAAACAACUAUCGAAAUGCCUCCACAUUGUUAAAAAAUAGGCUGUAUAGAUUGACCACAGUUAAUAAACUAAAAAUCGGAAAUAACUAAUAUAAUUAAUAAAAACAGAUUUUAAUCAAAAAUAUAAAAAAACCAAAAUAAAAAACCAGCAAUUUUC